GCUUAGAAAGCGUUUGCAGUGAUAUUUGUAAUUCAUGAUUUGGAAUAUUCCUCUAAGCU
This 59-nucleotide transfer RNA is filed under the name Hirudo nipponia. RNAcentral describes it as "tRNA-Thr". The record is from RNAcentral. Lineage: Eukaryota; Metazoa; Annelida; Clitellata; Hirudinida; Hirudinidae.